GGAUGACGGCCUUCGGGUUGUAAACCUCUUUCAGCAGGGAAGAAGCGAAAGUGACGGUACCUGCAGAAGAAGCGCCGGCUAACUACGUGCCAGCAGCCGCGGUAAUACGUAGGGCGCAAGCGUUGUCCGGAAUUAUUGGGCGUAAAGAGCUCGUAGGCGGCUUGUCGCGUCGGUUGUGAAAGCCCGGGGCUUAACCCCGGGUCUGCAGUCGAUACGGGCAGGCUAGAGUUCGGUAGGGGAGAUCGGAAUUCCUGGUGUAGCGGUGAAAUGCGCAGAUAUCAGGAGGAACACCGGUGGCGAAGGCGGAUCUCUGGGCCGAUACUGACGCUGAGGAGCGAAAGCGUGGGGAGCGAACAGGAUUAGAUACCCUGGUAGUCCACGCCGUAAACGGUGGGCACUAGGUGUGGGGGACAUUCACGUCUUCCGUGCCGUAGCUAACGCAUUAAGCGCCCCGCCUGGGGAGUACGGCCGCAAGGCUA
This 479-nucleotide ribosomal RNA is filed under the name uncultured bacterium. RNAcentral describes it as "bacterial SSU rRNA". It matches the Rfam family "Bacterial small subunit ribosomal RNA", at positions 406 to 896 of the family's 1533-position model. The record is from RNAcentral.